GACGAACGCUGGCGGCGUGCCUAAUACAUGCAAGUUGAGCGCUGAAGGUUGGUACUUGUACCGACUGGAUGAGCAGCGAACGGGUGAGUAACGCGUGGGGAAUCUGCCUUUGAGCGGGGGACAACAUUUGGAAACGAAUGCUAAUACCGCAUAAAAACUUUAAACACAAGUUUUAAGUUUGAAAGAUGCAAUUGCAUCACUCAAAGAUGAUCCCGCGUUGUAUUAGCUAGUUGGUGAGGUAAAGGCUCACCAAGGCGAUGAUACAUAGCCGACCUGAGAGGGUGAUCGGCCACAUUGGGACUGAGACACGGCCCAAACUCCUACGGGAGGCAGCAGUAGGGAAUCUUCGGCAAUGGGCGAAAGUCUGACCGAGCAACGCCGCGUGAGUGAAGAAGGUUUUCGGAUCGUAAAACUCUGUUGGUAGAGAAGAACGUUGGUGAGAGUGGAAAGCUCAUCAAGUGACGGUAACUACCCAGAAAGGGACGGCUAACUACGU
Molecule: ribosomal RNA, 496 nt
Filed under: uncultured bacterium
Lineage: Bacteria
Description: partial 16S ribosomal RNA
Rfam family: Bacterial small subunit ribosomal RNA
Source: RNAcentral